GGUUCGGAACAACCCAGGGAAACUUGGGCUAAUACCGGAUAAGCCCUUACGGGGAAAGAUUUAUCGCCGAAAGAUUGGCCCGCGUCUGAUUAGCUAGUUGGUGAGGUAAUGGCUCACCAAGGCGACGAUCAGUAGCUGGUCUGAGAGGAUGAUCAGCCACAUUGGGACUGAGACACGGCCCAAACUCCUACGGGAGGCAGCAGUGGGGAAUAUUGGACAAUGGGCGCAAGCCUGAUCCAGCCAUGCCGCGUGAGUGAUGAAGGCCCUAGGGUUGUAAAGCUCUUUUGUGCGGGAAGAUAAUGACGGUACCGCAAGAAUAAGCCCCGGCUAACUUCGUGCCAGCAGCCGCGGUAAUACGAAGGGGGCUAGCGUUGCUCGGAAUCACUGGGCGUAAAGGGUGCGUAGGCGGGUCUUUAAGUCAGGGGUGAAAUCCUGGAGCUCAACUCCAGAACUGCCUUUGAUACUGAAGAUCUUGAGUUCGGGAGAGGUGAGUGGAACUGCGAGUGUAGAGGUGAAAUUCGUAGAUAUUCGCAAGAACACCAGUGGCGAAGGCGGCUCACUGGCCCCGAUACCUGACG
This 578-nucleotide ribosomal RNA is filed under the name Bradyrhizobium sp. Its description in RNAcentral is "bacterial SSU rRNA". It matches the Rfam family "Bacterial small subunit ribosomal RNA", at positions 135 to 745 of the family's 1533-position model. Lineage: Bacteria; Pseudomonadati; Pseudomonadota; Alphaproteobacteria; Hyphomicrobiales; Nitrobacteraceae. The record is from RNAcentral.